This 1143-nucleotide long non-coding RNA is filed under the name Ursus maritimus (polar bear). RNAcentral describes it as "lncRNA (ENSUMAG00000008626.1)". The record is from RNAcentral. Lineage: Eukaryota; Metazoa; Chordata; Mammalia; Carnivora; Ursidae.
CUGGUAUUUAUCACAUCGGGGCAGGUUUUCACUGCUGGUAAGUAUCAGCUGUCUAGAGAGCAGGCGUGGGGAAGUCACUGAGCAGUUUCUAUGAAGAGAAGAAAAUGUGAAGCUUGGGAACUGCUAACAGGAGGAAUCAGCAUGCCCUCCCAACCAGCAGAAGAGACGGGGUAACUCUGUGAAAGAAGAGGAUGCUUCAGGAAGGAAGACGGAGAAAAGGAGGCAGAGUCAGCAGAAAGGAAAUGCUUUAGAUCUCAGAACGUGGCACGGUGAUUUUAUUUGAAGAUGGGGCAAGGCCAUCAGCUACUAGGAGGUUUCUCGAGGCAACACACAGUACGAAGUUGCUCAGCCCAAGUACCCUCAUCUGGGCAACUGAGAGACAAACUGUGGUGCGGUACCAGGGAGUACUACUCAGAAACAAAAGGGAAUGAGCUACUAAUGUACUCACCAACGUGGCGGAAUCGCAAAUGCCCAACGAUAGUUGAAGAGAACCAAACUUAAAGGCUUCAUGGUAUGUGAUUCCAUUUAUAUGAUCCUCCAGAAGAGGCAAAAUGAUAGGGACUGUUUCAUAUUUUGAUUGAGGUGGUAGUUACAUGACUGUAGAUGUCGAGAUUGCAGAACUGUCCGUAAAUGGAUGAAUAGUAUGUAAAUUAUACCUUAAUUUUUUAAAUGGGAGAAAAAACACGAAGUUGUUUUGGAUUGGGUGCUUUAGUAACCUCAUUAUCUAUCUUAGGAUUUUUAGGUAAAACUUGGAAAACAGAAUGGAUUCAGUCCUUUAAUAAGCAACUUCCUCUUAAUAUUAUACAUAACCCACAGAAGCCCUAGGAGCCCCCAAAUAUCAUUAUUUCCUCAACUACAUAGCCACAGUGAAAUUAAAAUGCUUCUUACAAUCAAUGAAUGAUAAGUGACAAUAGCCAGAUGCAUGCAGAUCAGUAAGUUUCGAUGAAGUUGUUAUUUUCCGCAAAUGUUUAAAAUGUACAAAAUUAGCCAUUGGGUAAUUAAUAUUGACCUUCAAUUAAACUUAAAUUUAUUUAUUGUUCCUUCAAAUGAUCUCAAAAUUACUACACUUGGCUGCAUAUUAUUGUACACAGACGAUUGAUUGAUACCUGCCAGGCUAUUUAAUUUAAGGCAAAAGAAAUUGCC